RNAcentral lists this unclassified non-coding RNA (376 nucleotides) under Acacia denticulosa. Its description in RNAcentral is "partial external transcribed spacer". Lineage: Eukaryota; Viridiplantae; Streptophyta; Magnoliopsida; Fabales; Fabaceae. The record is from RNAcentral.
UGCCGGCUGGCUCCGUGCCCGUCCACCGAACGGUCGGCAGGCGAUCCGCGUCGUUCAUUUUGGGUGGUAUGGUUCCCCAGAGGCCGGUUCUUGUGCUGCCUACCCCUUCAGGGGAAGCGCGCCACUUGAUGUAAGCCUCCAUCCGGCGCCCUCCAACGGGCGCAGGAGGACAACGGAGCACCCCCCGCGUUCCACCGAGCCUUAGCCGGUCGCGUGGCGCGCGGGGACGUGCGAUGCUCUCGGACCCAGCGAACGCCGUGGGCGAGGACUCACGUCCCAGUCCCGAUAGAAGCUCCGAUAUAAUGCAUGACGUCCGUUCCCGACCCCCGACCGCCCCGGCGGUGAGGGGGCGAGGCGCGGCGUCGCGGAGGAAUGC